RNAcentral lists this ribosomal RNA (253 nucleotides) under uncultured Lactobacillus sp. RNAcentral's name for it is "partial 16S ribosomal RNA". It matches the Rfam family "Bacterial small subunit ribosomal RNA", at positions 524 to 776 of the family's 1533-position model. Lineage: Bacteria; Bacillati; Bacillota; Bacilli; Lactobacillales; Lactobacillaceae. The record is from RNAcentral.
UACGUAGGGGGCAAGCGUUAUCCGGAUUUAUUGGGCGUAAAGCGAGCGCAGGCGGAAAGAUAAGUCUGAUGUGAAAGCCCCCGGCUUAACCGAGGAAUUGCAUCGGAAACUGUGUUUCUUGAGUGCAGAAGAGGAGAGUGGAACUCCAUGUGUAGCGGUGGAAUGCGUAGAUAUUAGGAGGAACACCAGUGGCGAAGGCGGCUUACUGGACUGUAACUGACGUUGAGGCUCGAAAGCGUGGGUAGCGAACGGG